AAAGGAUCUCUUUUUAGAGAUCACUCCCUCUGGAGUUUUUUUGCAAGCUUACAACACUGUAAGAUAAAACCUGAUUCUCCUUAGUUCCACGUCAUGCAGAAACGGGGACAAGCUAAGAAACAGGAGGACAAGGUCAAGAUGAAGCUACACAAAAUCAAUAGCUACAUCAUUGUGUAGCACAAUGUUAACACAACAUAACACCAUAUACAACACUGUAUCGAACCUAAAAGAUGCUCGGCUUUCCGGAUUUAUUUUUUCAGUUACUACUGCUCAGACUUCCUAGAAUCAUCACUUUCAGUUGGGAGUGUUUCUUCAGAGGAGUACUCAGUUGUCACUUGGUUCUCUUUCAUCAGUCUGCAAGCAUAACUCUAGAACAGCACACCUCCCCUGCCACUACAAUCCUCUUCUGGCUUUUGCAGGAGAAAAAGGCAGUUGGAAGAAGCAGACAUUGAACAACAUGAAGGACCGGAGCAGUUCUACAUCUCUACGUCAUCUGUUUGUAGAGAAAUAUCAUCUCACCACAUAUCUAACCAAUAGAUAACAACUUUCCAGCUCAAAGCCCUUUACAACUGUGAUUUCUGUGGUCUACUGUCCUAUCUGCUUUGGAGGUGGUGUUCAGUGGUUGCAGCACACACCAAUGUCCUCGGAGUUUCCUUGGAGCACAGCCCUGGAC
Gallus gallus (chicken) is the source of this 673-nucleotide long non-coding RNA. Lineage: Eukaryota; Metazoa; Chordata; Aves; Galliformes; Phasianidae. The record is from Ensembl.